This 415-nucleotide ribosomal RNA is filed under the name uncultured bacterium. RNAcentral describes it as "bacterial SSU rRNA". It matches the Rfam family "Bacterial small subunit ribosomal RNA", at positions 64 to 507 of the family's 1533-position model. The record is from RNAcentral.
GAACGCCCCGCAAGGGGAGUGGCAGACGGGUGCGUAACACGUGGGAACAUACCCUUUGGUUCGGAACAACACAGGGAAACUUGUGCUAAUACCGGAUAAGCCCUUACGGGGAAAGAUUUAUCGCCGAAAGAUCGGCCCGCGUCUGAUUAGCUAGUUGGUGAGGUAACGGCUCACCAAGGCGACGAUGGGUAGCUGGUGUGAGAGCACGACCAGCCACACGGGCACUGAGACACGGGCCCGACUCCUACGGGAGGCAGCAGUGAGGAAUAUUGGUCAAUGGACGCAAGUCUGAACCAGCCAUGCCGCGUGAAGGAUGAAGGCCUUCUGGGUUGUAAACUUCUUUUACCUGGGAAGAAACCCCGAUUAUCUAAUCGGGUUGACGGUACCAGAGGAAUAAGCACCGGCUAACUCCCUG